RNAcentral lists this long non-coding RNA (1223 nucleotides) under Homo sapiens (human). RNAcentral's name for it is "HSALNT0078208". Lineage: Eukaryota; Metazoa; Chordata; Mammalia; Primates; Hominidae. The record is from RNAcentral.
GUUUUUUAUCCUCAUUAUAGGUCAUAGUUUUCUUUUUCUUACUACAUCUGUUUCUUAGACUGGAUGCCAGACAAUUUGAAUUUUACAUUCAAAUGGUGCUGUAUAGAUUUGAUUUCCUAUACAUGUUUUUGAUUAAUUUAUUUGAAACAGUUGAAUCCACUUUGUUCUAUUUUUUAUUUUUGAUUUGUUAGGUGACUCCAUAGCAGUGUUUACUAUAAGGCUAAUAUUACCCAUUACUGAGGUAAGAGUCCCCUGAAUAUUCCAUCGAAUGCCCUGUAUAUCCUGAAAUUGUCCAGUCUUGAUAUUUACUGCCCUUUGUGAGUACCAGGCACUGUUUCCUCUAAUUUUAUUGAAUGAUCUUUCCCACAAUUCUAAAGUAGUUUCCUCACAUGCAUGUGAUGCUCAGUACUUUGCUGAGUACUCAGAGGAGACUCUGUAGACAGCCAGAAUUUUCUCCCUGUGCAGUUUUCUCCUCUCUGGUACUUUCUCCUGCAAAUUAUAGCCACUUAGUCCUCCCCAGGGCCUCUACUAAGCUUCCUCAACUCAGGGAGUCUUCAGGACUCUGUGCCAAGGCUGGAACCUUUCUCAAGGCAAUAAGCUGAAAUAAAUGUCACCUGCAAGCUGAGGAGCCAGGAAGCCAGUCCAAGUCCCAAAACCACAAAAGAAGGGAAGCUGAUAAUGCAGCCUUCAGUCCGUGGCUGAAGCCUGAGAGCCCCUGGCAAAUCACUGCUGUAAGUCCAAGAGUCCAAAAACAGAAGAACUUGGAGUCUGAUGUUCCAGAGCAGGAAGCAUCCAGCAUGGGAGAAAGACAGAGGCCGGAAGACUCAGCCAGCCUCGUCCUUCCAGGUUCUUCUGCCUGCUUUUCUCCUAACUACUCUGGCAGCUGUUAGAUGGUGCCCACCCAGAUUGAGGAAUCGAUGUGCAAAUAAUUUCCUUGGGAGGAACUCUUUAGCCUGUAAAAGUGGUGGUCGUGUUGUGAAGAUGUGGAACAACCGGAAAUCUCAUGCACUGCUGGAGGAAUGUAAAUUGGUACAAGCUACCUGUCAAACCAGCAGCAGGUAAAUUCUAUACUUGAGCAAGUUAUCAUCUUAGGUAUCAAACCAACAAACAUUUGUUCAUAUAGUCACCAAAAUAUAGGUACUAAAAUUUAUAGCAACAAUGUUCAUAACAGCUCCAAAAAACAUGUAGUGUAGAAUAUUCUUAUUUCUAGAAUAUCCAAAUGU